UGCAGAGGGUGCAACCGUUGUUCGGAAUUACUGGGCGUAAAGCGUGUGUAGGCGGCUUAGCAAGUCGGAUGUGAAAGCCCCGGGCUCAACCCGGGAAGUGCACUCGAUACUGCUGAGCUUGAGUGUCGGAGAGGUUGGUGGAAUUCUCGGUGUAGAGGUGAAAUUCGUAGAUAUCGAGAGGAACACCGGUGGCGAAGGCGGUCUGCUGGGGUCGAACUGACGCUGAGGCGCGACAGCGUGGGGAGCAAACAGG
RNAcentral lists this ribosomal RNA (253 nucleotides) under uncultured bacterium. RNAcentral's name for it is "partial 16S ribosomal RNA". It matches the Rfam family "Bacterial small subunit ribosomal RNA", at positions 524 to 776 of the family's 1533-position model. The record is from RNAcentral.